Molecule: ribosomal RNA, 450 nt
Filed under: uncultured bacterium
Lineage: Bacteria
Description: partial 16S ribosomal RNA
Rfam family: Bacterial small subunit ribosomal RNA
Source: RNAcentral
AGCGAACGCUGGCGGCAGGCUUAACACAUGCAAGUCGAACGCGCUCUUCGGAGCGAGUGGCAGACGGGUGAGUAACGCGUGGGAACGUGCCCUCCGGUUCGGGAUAACCCAGGGAAACUUGGGCUAAUACCGGAUACGUGCUUAUGGCAGAAAGGUUUACUGCCGGAGGAUCGGCCCGCGUCUGAUUAGCUAGUUGGUGGGGUAACGGCCUACCAAGGCUGCGAUCAGUAGCUGGUCUGAGAGGAUGAUCAGCCACACUGGGACUGAGACACGGCCCAGACUCCUACGGGAGGCAGCAGUGGGGAAUAUUGGACAAUGGGCGCAAGCCUGAUCCAGCCAUGCCGCGUGAGUGAUGAAGGCCUUAGGGUUGUAAAGCUCUUUUACCCGGGACGAUAAUGACGGUACCGGGAGAAUAAGCCCCGGCUAACUUCGUGCCAGCCGCCGCCGUAA